RNAcentral lists this ribosomal RNA (1032 nucleotides) under Alexandrium pacificum. RNAcentral's name for it is "partial large subunit ribosomal RNA". It matches the Rfam family "Eukaryotic large subunit ribosomal RNA", at positions 202 to 1189 of the family's 3401-position model. The record is from RNAcentral. Lineage: Eukaryota; Dinophyceae; Gonyaulacales; Pyrocystaceae.
AUCAAUGAGGGUGAGAGUCCUGUUUGUCAUGUGCAGCCUUCUGUGCACGGUGUAUAUUUGCUGAGUCACACUCCUUGGCAUUGGAAUGCAAAGUGGGUGGUAAGUUUCAUGCAAAGGUAAAUAUGCAAUUGAGACUGAUAGCGCACAAGUACCAUGAGGGACAUAUGAAAAGGACUUUGAAAAGAGAAUUAAAUGAGUUUGUAUUUGCUAAACACAAAGUAAACAGACUUGAUUUCCUCAGUGAGAUUGUAGUGCUUGCUUAACAAUGGGUUUUGGCUGCAAGUGCAAUAAUUCUUGCUUUGUGUGCCAGUUUUUAUGUGGACAUUUGAUUACCUUUGCACAUGAAUGGUAAUUUUCCUGCGGGGUGUGGAUUGCAUAUGCAUGUAAUGAUUUGCAUGUUUGUUAAAUGUGUCUGGUGUAUUUGUUUGUGUCCUUGUCCUUGAGGUUGCUUUCUCCCUUGGGCUUACAUGCCCUGGCACACACAUUCUGGCAAAAUGCUUCUGCUUGACCCGUCUUGAAACACGGACCAAGGAGUCUAACAGAUGUGCAAGUUUGAAGGUGGUAUACCUGUGUGUGUAAUGAAAGUAUUGGCUGGGAUAUUUGCACCAGCAGCCGACUAAUUAGCAGACAGAGGUUUGAGUUGGAGCAUAUCUAUUAGGACCCGAAAGAUGGUGAACUAUGCUUGAACAGAAAGAAUUCAGAGGAAACUCUGAUGGAGGUUCGUAUCGAUACUGACGUGCAAAUCGUUCGUCAUAUUUGGGUAUAGGGGCGAAAGACUAAUCGAACCAUCUAGUAGCUGGUUCCCUCCGAAGUUUCCCUCAGGAUAGCUGGAGUUGCACAGUUUUAUCAGGUAAAGCGAAUGAUUAGAGGAAUUGGGGACAGAUGUGUCCUUGACCUAUUCUCAAACUUUAAAUGGGUAAUAUGUAGUGGUUGCUUGAUGGAACUUCUAAAAUGAAUGGCAAUAUUAGGUGGGCCAUUUUUGGUAACCAGAACUGGCGAUGAGGGAUGAACCUAAUGCUGGGUUAAGGUGCU